Taeniopygia guttata (zebra finch) is the source of this 2310-nucleotide non-coding RNA. Lineage: Eukaryota; Metazoa; Chordata; Aves; Passeriformes; Estrildidae. The record is from RefSeq and is a predicted model, not a curated record.
CAUCCCAUAAGUGAAGCUCUGUUAAAAUGCCUUUCCUGUUGGCAAGUUCCUGCACCUCUCAGGAGUCUGUCAGCUUUGCUUGGUGCCUUUUGUUUGCUGUCUAAUAAUUUUAGCUGAACCCAUCCUGCUCUCUGGAAUCUUCAAGCUGACUUUAUGCAGUUAUUCUCAGGAGAGACACAGCAUUUCCUGUGCCCUGUAGGACCCCACAACCCAUGAAGGAGCAAGAUGAGCAUGUUUUGAUUCCCUUGUUUCUUAUUUUAACAGCAAAUGUAAUGCAUAGCACUAAUACAACAAACUGGAGAAAAAUUGAACUUUUUUCCCAUCUGCUGCACCACCUGAAAAUCUUUCAGGCAACAGGUGAAUACUUAGCUAAUGCAUUCCACCUGCCAGAGUCACCAGAGGAACUCCAGAGACAAGCUUCAAGCUGCUCCUGAAGACUUCUAGUAACACCUCUGUUGAAUUAACAGCAAAAAGUCGGAGCACAAAACAUGUUUUGGAACACUGAAAUUUCCCAUUUCAGGGCACAGAUCCUGCUUUCCAACCAACUCUUGUAUAUGGGCUAUGAAAACUCUUCCUGAUUUGCCCAAAGAGGACUUGGCUCAUGAUCCCUUCUGAAGUUUAUUCAAGGCAAAAGAUGGGGUGAUUAUUGUGAAGAAAUCUUAUUUUGGUUCAUUCCCAGAAGACCAAAGUAAAAGCCAGAAAAUUGAUGCUGUCUCACCCACCAGCUGUCAUUUCCAACCCAGAUGCUCCACAUCCCUUGCCAGCUUCUUGCUGGGGAAAUGGGAGGAGGAAGGCUCAAAAAUAGAAUAAUUUAAAGAAGAGAAGGAAAGUUGAAUAUUGUUUGUGCAAACUAUUAUUUGUUGCAAAGUGGAACAUAAAUAGGAGCCCUUGGUAGCCACAAGAGUCGUGUAUUCCCAACAUCAUGACAAACUGUGUCCAGCUUUGCACAUUAAUAGAAGUGUUUAAUGAUAAAUCCUUUCUAGCUUAUGGCUAUGGGUAUCUUUCCAUUUCGUGUCUUGAGGAAUUUCCAUGUGUAGAUACACGUGUGGUUCCCAUCACUUCAUUAACCAAGCACAGAUUAACAGAGCUGUCCUUGCAACACUUGGGUGAUAAAAUGUUGCCUCCUCUUUAUGGAUGCAAACCCAGAGACACGGAGAUUUUUAAAGGCCUCAUCCACAGCCUGUAGGCAUUUUUGUGGGAAUCUUUUCCUUGAUUUCAAUGGUCGUAGAUGAUGUCCUUAGAAUCUUGUCUGAGGGAACUGCUGUGAUGACUUAGUCAAACUGUUCAUUGAGUGUUUGAUUUUUAAAAUUUUUUUUGUCCAGCAACAAAAUCUGAUUAUUCAUUUUCUACAGUAUCUAUUAUACUGUGUUUUAAACUCAUAGCUUUGCUCUUAGUGCAUUUCCUUUUAAUAGAAAUAGAGCAGAACAAUGACCUGAGGGUCAUUAUCUUUCAAACUUUGUCAGUUAUAAUACAGUGCCUAAAAAUAUUAAAAUAUUUCAAAAAUUGCUAGUCCCGGCUGGCCUCAAAGCCUGGAUGUGUAAGGAUAUAUCACGGUUAAGAUAAAAGUCACUGUGCUCUGUCUUUUUCUUUUUCUGCGUAUCGUGAGUCUAGAUACUUUUCCAAAACUGUUAUUAAGUUUACUAUAAAUACUUGAUCAACAAAUUUAUAUUAAAAUUAUGCAAGAAAACAAAUAUUUGUUGUCCCUAGCACUGGAAAUUCAAAUUAGUUGCUUUACAAAAUACUGUGCUACCAGUACAGCUUGCAUUCAAACUUUAACAGGAGUCUAAAAUGUGGUUCCUUGAUGAAAGCUGGAGCAAUCCUGAUCUUUUCCUGGUCUUUGAGCUUUGCUGUGUUUAGAUGUUGUCAGCUUUUAUGUGAGUGUGAAGUGAUGCACAGCGAGUAGUAGUGGCAGCCCACGAGUAAUAACUGAAUGCAAAGGCUCCAGACUGAAGGGAUUUCACCUGAUACAGAGGAGUUUUAAUUAGAACUAAUGGGGUAAAACUGAGAAAAAGGCAUAUGCACGCUGACUGUCAGGAAAACCCUUGUGGUGGUGAAAGCUGUCAUGGUAUGUUCUCCUAAGGGAAGCAGUAGUAGCAAUCUGUGGAAGUUGAAUCACAAAAAAAAUAGAUUGUAAAGAUGGAACUAUUUUUGGGCUAUGAGGACUGGUUGAUUUGACUGCAAAGCUCAUUACUAAGCUUCUUCCUCUUCAGAGUCCCACGAUUCAUUUUAUUUUCCUGAGCAUACCAUAGAAUUAUAGCUUGGUUUGGGACAAUAAACCAAAAUUCAUAGGCCUGGGAAAAAAUUAUUUAU